This is a long non-coding RNA of Oncorhynchus tshawytscha (Chinook salmon), 1230 nucleotides long. RefSeq lists it as uncharacterized. Lineage: Eukaryota; Metazoa; Chordata; Actinopteri; Salmoniformes; Salmonidae. The record is from RefSeq and is a predicted model, not a curated record. The transcript is spliced from 3 exons.
UCUGUGUGGUCAAUGACCCCUUGAUGCGAUACCUGUGCGCAUGUCAAGAAAGGUGAGCAAGCGAGGUUGUUUUUUGGGGACAUGUCAGUUGACACAGACAGCGCUAGCAGUAGUUAGCUCGCGCAACUAAUAGUUAAAACAUUUCUCAAGUGCGUUCGCUGCCAGACCAAUAUAAUUACUUAUACACAUACUUAGACCAUCAGACAAACAUACAUAGUAACGAUGUGAACAGUAAAUUGGAAGUGGGAACUGUGUUAGCUGACUAACGUUAUUAGCAUGCAAGCCAGCAGGCUAGCUUUGAUAACGGAAAUGUAAACAAUCAUUGGAGAAUUCUGCAAAGUGAGACGAACUAAGACCGCGAAUCCAAUCCAAUGAUAUCAACUUUGUUUGUCACUUCCUGCAACGCCCAGUCGGUGAUGAUGUCAUCACGCAGCCCCCUCGGAGCAUCAGAGCCAUCAGCGCAGGAGCUGGAUUGAGAAAGUUCUCAGGGUCGUGCCUGGGGUCUGGGAAAACAGGAGCUGGAUGGUGUGUCUACUGUAAGUGGUCAUGAAACCCAAUGGCGUGUGAAAUGGACAACUGGGACUUGGUGUUGGAUUUAUCCUAGAAUCCUCGGCCGCCAGGCAGCCACGCCUUGCAUGCGAAUCCCUCAGAACUCUAACUUGUUAGAAAAAAAAUAACCCAUUAUGACUCCCUCUGGACAAAGCACCAAAACCCCUCAUCAAGUUCAGGAAGGAGCACCAGUCCAGUCGGUAUGGGUGAUAUGUCAUCGUUAUUCUCUCUUCUUGGCAAAGGGCUACAUUAGCCUACCCCUGGGGGCUGAGUGCCCACAUCCUCCAGAGUCGUUACUCUAAGUUAGAUGUUUACCUAGACAGAUAUCCCCUGCUGAGCCCAGAGCCAGAUCUCAAAGUAUCCACUAACACUCUGCAACGUGCUGUGCCUGGACCUGGGCCAAAGCACCAGAGAGAUGGCGUAGUCGCUAAACCACCCGCCCAAAUCUCAGUUUGAUCCUCCAUUAUCACAUUAACCCUGGCCAAUUGGAAAAUAUAGGUUCCCCAGAGGAAGAGAGGGUAUUUGUACUCCUUUAGGAACAAAUCUCAACCUUUUUAUCUGACAAUGUAAUCCAAUGACCUGAAACUCAUGGUUUACAGGCCACAUCAGGCCUGUAAAUCAUAUUAUGUUGGCUUGCAAGGUGAUGUGUAAAUCCGAAUAAACACUCUGCCAUGCCUUGGA